Molecule: long non-coding RNA, 310 nt
Organism: Anthonomus grandis grandis
Lineage: Eukaryota; Metazoa; Arthropoda; Insecta; Coleoptera; Curculionidae
Exons: 2
Source: RefSeq, a predicted model, not a curated record
UAAGCUACCCCAACACAUUCACAUACAUCAGUCAGUUUCAAUCAUUUUGAAGAUCAUUUUUAUUCUGUUUCAUCAUCACCACAUUUAACCCAAUUGACUCAGUCACAUUCACAAACAUCUUCCACUGUUCAGUAUCAAGAAUUAGUGCCUCGUUCAGAGCCUGACAGCAUUCCGGAAUUAUCGCUGAGAUCGUACAUACAGGGAUACGAAACAGAUACAUAAGGGAAUGGUAUGAAUCAUCUGAAAUCAAAAAAUGUUUAAGUUUUGUUCUGGUUUUGUAUAAAAAAAUAAAAUAUUUUAGUUAUUUGUA